RNAcentral lists this ribosomal RNA (488 nucleotides) under uncultured bacterium. RNAcentral's name for it is "partial 16S ribosomal RNA". It matches the Rfam family "Bacterial small subunit ribosomal RNA", at positions 28 to 506 of the family's 1533-position model. The record is from RNAcentral.
GAUGAACGCUAGCGGCAGGCUUAAUACAUGCAAGUCGAGGGGCAGCAGGACUGUAGCAAUACAGUUGCUGGCGACCGGCAAACGGGUGCGGAACACGUACGCAACCUACCCAAAACUGGGGGAUAGCCCGGGGAAACCCGGAUUAAUACCUCGUAACCUUUUUAAGUGGCAUCACUUGAUAAGUAUAGCUCCGGCGGUUUUGGAUGGGCGUGCGCCUGAUUAGGUAGUUGGUGCGGGUAACGGCCCACCAAGCCUGCGAUCAGUAACUGGUGUGAGAGCACGCCCAGCACAACGGGCCAUGAGACCCGGGCCCGCCUCCUACGGGAGGCAGCAGUAAGGAUUUUUGGUCAAGGGACCCAAGUCUGACCCCGCCAUGCCGGGUGAAGGAUGAAGGUCCUCUGGAUUGUAAACUUCUUUUAUGGGGGACAAAACCCGGAUAUUCUUUCCCGUUGGCCGGUACCUCAGGAAUAAGCCCCGGCUACCUCCGU